This 67-nucleotide transfer RNA is filed under the name Dendrocopos leucotos (white-backed woodpecker). Its description in RNAcentral is "tRNA-Cys". Lineage: Eukaryota; Metazoa; Chordata; Aves; Piciformes; Picidae. The record is from RNAcentral.
AGCUCUGUAGUGAAAUUCAUGUUGAGUUGCAAGCUCAUCGAUGUGCAUUGGAGAUGCGCCGGAGCUU